This 468-nucleotide ribosomal RNA is filed under the name uncultured bacterium. RNAcentral describes it as "partial 16S ribosomal RNA". It matches the Rfam family "Bacterial small subunit ribosomal RNA", at positions 28 to 507 of the family's 1533-position model. The record is from RNAcentral.
GACGAACGCUGGCGGCGGGCUUAACACAUGCAAGUCGAACGGAAAGGCCCUGCUUUUGUGGGGUGCUCGAGUGGCGAACGGGUGAGUAACACGUGAGUAACCUGCCCUUGACUUUGGGAUAACUUCAGGAAACUGGGGCUAAUACCGGAUAGGAGCUCCUGCUGCAUGGUGGGGGUUGGAAAGUUUCGGCGGUUGGGGAUGGACUCGCGGCUUAUCAGCUUGUUGGUGGGGUAGUGGCUUACCAAGGCUUUGACGGGUAGCCGGCCUGAGAGGGUGACCGGCCACAUUGGGCCUGCGAUACGGCCCAGACUCCUACGGGAGGCAGCAGUGGGGAAUAUUGCACAAUGGGCGGAAGCCUGAUGCAGCAACGCCGCGUGCGGGAUGACGGCCUUCGGGUUGUAAACCGCUUUCGCCUGUGACGAAGCGUGAGUGACGGUAAUGGGUAAAGAAGCACCGGCUAACUACGUG